Molecule: long non-coding RNA, 129 nt
Organism: Myotis brandtii (Brandt's bat)
Lineage: Eukaryota; Metazoa; Chordata; Mammalia; Chiroptera; Vespertilionidae
Exons: 2
Source: RefSeq, a predicted model, not a curated record
GGGGGACCUCCAGCCUGAGCCAGGCUCCUCCGCAGUGCCCAGUGCCGCUUGUCGAAGAUGGAUAGAAAUCAUUUGUCCUUACACUUUAUGAAUCAAUUUUAUUUUUAAAAUAAAAUGUUAAACAUCUUU